RNAcentral lists this long non-coding RNA (1199 nucleotides) under Prunus persica (peach). RNAcentral describes it as "long non-coding RNA (PPER_LNC001238)". The record is from RNAcentral. Lineage: Eukaryota; Viridiplantae; Streptophyta; Magnoliopsida; Rosales; Rosaceae.
UGAGCCUCUUGGAUGUGUAUGUCCUUGAUUUGAAAACAAGUACAGGUUGAGCGAUGAUGAUGGAGAUGAGAAAAAAAAAUUAAAAGAAGUUGAUUAAAUUUUGUACACAGAGAAUAUAUAUAUCAUUUGACCUAGUGAGAAGUUAAAGUUGAACAAUAAAGCUUAUGGAGACAGUAAAGUUACGGGAAAAGUUGUUGUAGGAGAUAAUGAUGAGUUGAAAAGCAAUGAGAUUGAAGAGGUAUGAACAAGAAUUUAGAGCAAUAAUAUAGUGGGUAUUGCCAUUGUUGAGGGAGAAAAGUUGAGGGUUUUUUGAUUUAUGUGAUUAAGAUAGCAGUGAGGUUUUAGAGGUCAAUAAUGUGGCAAGGUUGUUCCAUGAGAGACUGAGAACUUGGAGAUGAGCGAGCGAGAUUAUGACCUCAAACAACCCGUGUGGGGAUAGUAAGGGAGAGCAGUGAAAGGUCAAUUAUAGGUGAGUGAGUGAGGUAUUGAGUUUGUAAAACUUUUAAAUGAGGUGUUGUAUGGGCAUGUCGGGCCCGGACGUGGUUGGGCCUUUUUUUUCAUAAUUUUUUUUUAAAAUCUUUUGUUACAAUUAUGUUUUUUUAUUUUUAGCUAAGAAGUGUUAAUUUUAUUUUAACAUUACAGUAUAAUUAAUUUCCUCCACAUAAACUUUAAUAAUCCUAAUAACCAAAAUGCUUAAUAUGUGAGUCAUAAAAUUUUCAUAAGCAUCUACAAUUACUUUAUUCCACAUAAGUUCUAAUAACCGUAAAAACCAAAAUACUUAUACGUCUAUUGAGUCAUAAAAAUUUGGUAAGCAUUUACAAUUUUUUUCCCCACAUAAGUUAAUAACUAUGACAUCAAUUAAUUUAUUUUCUUUCUAAUGAUUAAACUUUCAAAAGAUGUCACUAAGAGGUGAGUGAGUGAGGUAUUGAGAUUGUAAUACUUGUAAAUGAGGUAUUAGUACAAGCAUUAAUCAAAUUAAAUGAUUCAUAAAUAUCAAAGGUCAUUUACCGGGCUCAUAUGGGUUUGCCGGGCUCGUUCGUGGUCGGUCCUUUUUUUUUUCCUAAUAUUUUUUUUCAUCUUUCGUUACAAAGAUAUUUUUGAUUUUUAGCUAAUUAGUGCUAAUUUUAUUUUAACAUUUCAGGAAACUAGUAAGAUAAUUACUUUUCUCCACAUAUGUUCUAAUAAACAUAAUAACCAAA